CCUACGGGAGGCAGCAGUGAGGAAUAUUGGUCAAUGGACGAGAGUCUGAACCAGCCAAGUAGCGUGAAGGAUGACUGCCCUAUGGGUUGUAAACUUCUUUUAUAUGGGAAUAAAACGUUCCACGUGUGGGAUUUUGUAUGUACCAUAUGAAUAAGGAUCGGCUAACUCCGUGCCAGCAGCCGCGGUAAUACGGAGGAUCCGAGCGUUAUCCGGAUUUAUUGGGUUUAAAGGGAGCGUAGGUGGAUUGUUAAGUCAGUUGUGAAAGUUUGCGGCUCAACCGUAAAAUUGCAGUUGAAACUGGCAGUCUUGAGUACAGUAGAGGUGGGCGGAAUUCGUGGUGUAGCGGUGAAAUGCUUAGAGAUCACGAAGAACUCCGAUUGCGAAGGCAGUUCACUGGACUGCAACUGACACUGAGGCUCGAAAGUGUGGGUAUCAAACAGGAUUAGAUACCCGAGUAGUA
RNAcentral lists this ribosomal RNA (460 nucleotides) under uncultured bacterium. Its description in RNAcentral is "partial 16S ribosomal RNA". It matches the Rfam family "Bacterial small subunit ribosomal RNA", at positions 338 to 795 of the family's 1533-position model. The record is from RNAcentral.